Molecule: ribosomal RNA, 253 nt
Filed under: uncultured bacterium
Lineage: Bacteria
Description: partial 16S ribosomal RNA
Rfam family: Bacterial small subunit ribosomal RNA
Source: RNAcentral
UACGGAGGGGGCUAGCGUUGUUCGGAAUUACUGGGCGUAAAGCGCGCGUAGGUGGACUUGCAAGUCGGGGGUGAAAGCCCGAGGCUCAACCUCGGAACUGCCUUCGAUACUGCGGGUCUCGAGUCCGGGAGAGGUGAGUGGAAUUCCUAGUGUAGAGGUGAAAUUCGUAGAUAUUAGGAAGAACACCAAUGGCGAAGGCAGCUCGCUGGGACGUGACUGACGCUGAGACGCGAAAGCGUGGGGAGCAAACAGG